Long non-coding RNA from Bos taurus (domestic cattle), 641 nucleotides. NCBI's taxonomy places the organism in Eukaryota, Metazoa, Chordata, Mammalia, Artiodactyla, Bovidae. The record is from Ensembl.
GUAAGAAAAACUAGAACAUGUUUGCUCAAGCUACCCUUAGUUUUGUCUCCUCCUCCCAGCAGCCUCAGAAUACUCAAGUCUUAUUCCAAGAAAAUGUCUUUCAAUCCUCAAAGCCUUUAUAACUGGUAAAACCACCGUUUAGACGAUCAUAGGAGAAAUUCUGGCCAAAAAAAAAAUUGUCUUGGAGCUCAUGGAAUCCAUCAAAGAGACCUCUGAUCAUCAGGGUGUCGCACACUCCACUUUGAGAGCUGAACAAGGCCAGAGGUGCAGCUACAGCAAGGAUGUUAAAAGCAUCUUGUUGGAACCCCACAAAGGUCUAUAAAAUGGAGACUACACAGGUGGGUUAGCAGCUAAGCUUUCUUAAUGAGAAAUUGGAAAGAAGUGAACAGCAAGUUUGAUGAAACCAUUUUUUCAUAAAGCUGUACAUAUUCCAGAAGACAGAUAAGAAUAUAAACGACAGCAAGAUCAAAGAUUUGAUGGAACAUAUCCACUAGGAGUGAAGUUUGGGUGCCAGAAUCCAGCUCCAGCAGCCAGAGAAUCAGCCUGAAGAGAUGAGCAGUGUCGGCGGAGAAUGAUGCAGCCUCUGAUUCAAGGCUCUGAAGAAAGCUGAUAGGCAAACUUUGGAGCCCCUGAUGAAUCUU